This 21-nucleotide non-coding RNA is filed under the name Caenorhabditis elegans. Lineage: Eukaryota; Metazoa; Nematoda; Chromadorea; Rhabditida; Rhabditidae. The record is from RNAcentral.
UCUUAAAAAUAGAAAAACGUU